UCAGGAUUGGUGUGCCUCCAGGC
Molecule: non-coding RNA, 23 nt
Filed under: Cricetulus griseus (Chinese hamster)
Lineage: Eukaryota; Metazoa; Chordata; Mammalia; Rodentia; Cricetidae
Source: RNAcentral